This is a non-coding RNA of Trichuris trichiura (human whipworm), 73 nucleotides long. NCBI's taxonomy places the organism in Eukaryota, Metazoa, Nematoda, Enoplea, Trichinellida, Trichuridae. The record is from Rfam.
UCUGGCUACCUGACCUGUCCAUUGUGGAAGGUCUUACAUUCUCGCUGAUUUCAGGAGCUAUUGAUUAUGCGUA